Melozone crissalis (California towhee) is the source of this 546-nucleotide non-coding RNA. The record is from the annotation of a RefSeq genome assembly. Lineage: Eukaryota; Metazoa; Chordata; Aves; Passeriformes; Passerellidae.
AUGAUGAACUCCAAGGUGCUCCGGGCGGCUUUGACCCUGCUGGAGUGCGGGGGGGACCUCCAGCCCCCCGGGGGGUCCCUGCGCCUCCUCUGCCGAGGGGCCGGGUUUGAUUUUGGGGAGUUUGGAAUGGGAUGGAUGCGCCAGAGACCCGGGCAGGGGCUGGAAUACAUCGCCAGUAUCAGCAACACGGGUGGUGGCACCAACUACGCGCCAUCGGUGCAGGGUCGGUUCACGAUCUCCAGGGACAACGGGCAGAGCUCGGUGACGCUGACCAUGAACAACCUCAAGGAUGAGGAUUCUGGAUCCUAUUUCUGUGCCAAAUGUGCUUACAGUGGUUAUAGUUAUGGUGGUGCUGCUUUUAUUGACAAUUUUGGCAGUGGGAUCAACACUGGUGUAGGCACCACCGACUACGCGCCAUCUGUCAAGGGUCGGUUCAGGAUCUCCAGGAACAACGGGCAAAGCUCGUGCCGUCGUUACCCAAAAGUUACCGAAAUGUCUGGAUUUGGGCCCAAAGUAAAGAUCAGGGAUCAAGAAUUCAAAUUUUAG